GUAAACUCUGACAUUCAAAAUCUGAAGUUCUUACUCCUAUGUUUUCAAGAGAUGUCGGGACUGACAAUAAACUUUGCCAAAAGCGAAGUAAUGGUGCUAGGCUAUUCAGGGGAGGAAUCCCGACGCAUUGCCAAUAUGCUUAAUUGCCGACUAGGAUCGUUCCCGACCUCCUACCUUGGCCUCCCGAUUAGUGACUCCCGCCUCCAGGCGAAAGAUCUUCGCCCCAUGGUUACCAAGCUUCAACACAGAGUCGAACCGUGGCAAGGGUGGUGGCUAUCCAAGGCGCCCCGGAUCGUGUUGAUGAACUCCUCCCUGGUUAGCCUGCUUAUGUACUUGAUGCGAUUCUAUAGUUUGCAUGAAUCCCUUCACCAGGAAGUCGCCAAAUAUUUGUCUAGGUUCUUCUGGGCAGGACCAGACAAUAGACAAAAAUAUCACAUGGUGAAGUGGUCCGAGGUUUGCAAGCCAAAGAACCAAGGCGGUUUGGGAGUCAUCUCUUCCAAGCAGAUGAACAUAGCCUUGCUCUCUAAAUGGCUAUGGCGCAUUGAGGCAGGGGAUGGGGGCCUAUGGCUCCAGAUCAUCCGUGCAAAGUACCUGCGUGGACAACCCCUUGCCUUCGCCUCCCGGACGGGUGGCUCCCAGUUUUCGCAAUCGGUCAUCCAGCUAAUGCCGGUCCUACGGAUUGGAUCAUCCAUCUCGGUAGGGACGGGCACCAAUACCCUGUUCUAG
Molecule: ribosomal RNA, 726 nt
Filed under: Triticum aestivum (bread wheat)
Lineage: Eukaryota; Viridiplantae; Streptophyta; Magnoliopsida; Poales; Poaceae
Description: partial small subunit ribosomal RNA
Source: RNAcentral